GUAUGGGCGCCAAAACACAUAAGGUCUCCAUACCCCAUCCGGUAUGAGAGACCACAAUCCCGGUAGGGUUCCCUACGGACCCGGUCCGUCCACCAUCUCCCAAGAUAUCUAGUCAGGCUGACCACAUUAUACAAUUAUCAAUUUACAUAACCUUUCAUUCCUCUUUUCCUCAGUCAGCAUCAUCAAUUCACACACAAACAAGCAA
This 205-nucleotide long non-coding RNA is filed under the name Carica papaya (papaya). Its description in RNAcentral is "long non-coding RNA (CPAP_LNC006521)". Lineage: Eukaryota; Viridiplantae; Streptophyta; Magnoliopsida; Brassicales; Caricaceae. The record is from RNAcentral.